UUUCACUCCUUUUUUUUCCUCUUCUUUCCCCCUAUUCCUAGGGUCUCUGUCUGGAAAUUUCCCCCAGAUGCGUGAAGGUGUGUGUGGUGGAAGAGGGUAGAAACCAGACUCCAACAGUCAGGUAAAGAAGACCAAUUCCUCCCACCUACUCCUCCUAUUGCUACUGUCCAGCAAGUAUGUCUGAGUGGGCACGUGUGCAUUUACUCGCACAUAUACACAAGCACACACGCAGAAAUGGCACAUGAAAGCGGGUUGUAAAUGGCCAGUGAUCUACGAUGCCAGGAAUCCUCCUUACACUCGGCGUUCAAAGAGCAGGAGCAAGAACCUGAGGAACCGAUCGUUCAUGCAAAACCGCCACCGCCCCCAUCCCAGCGUCCACAUGGUUUCCCAGCCUCGGAAGCGCGUUGGUAGGGCAGGACCCCGUCCCUCACUUUGCUCUCCUUUCCCGAGCAGCUCCCGGGAUCGUUCGGCCCCUCC
RNAcentral lists this long non-coding RNA (477 nucleotides) under Homo sapiens (human). Its description in RNAcentral is "HSALNT0291457". Lineage: Eukaryota; Metazoa; Chordata; Mammalia; Primates; Hominidae. The record is from RNAcentral.